This 496-nucleotide ribosomal RNA is filed under the name uncultured bacterium. Its description in RNAcentral is "partial 16S ribosomal RNA". It matches the Rfam family "Bacterial small subunit ribosomal RNA", at positions 28 to 506 of the family's 1533-position model. The record is from RNAcentral.
GACGAACGCUGGCGGCAUGCCUAAUACAUGCAAGUCGAACGCUGAAGCACCCUGCUUGCAGAGUGCGGAUGAGUGGCGAACGGGUGAGUAACACGUGGGGAAUCUGCCUAUAAGUGGGGGAUAACAUUCGGAAACGGAUGCUAAUACCGCAUAUAUUCUUGGACCGCCUGGUCCUUGAAAGAAAGACGGCUUUGCUGUCGCUUAUAGAUGAUCCCGCGGCGUAUUAGUUAGUUGGUGGGGUAAAGGCCUACCAAGACAAUGAUACGUAGCCGACCUGAGAGGGUGAUCGGCCACACUGGGACUGAGACACGGCCCAGACUCCUACGGGAGGCAGCAGUAGGGAAUCUUCCACAAUGGGCGAAAGCCUGAUGGAGCAAUGCCGCGUGAAUGAAGAAGGUCUUCGGAUCGUAAAGUUCUGUUAUUAGAGAAGAACAAGUCAAGGAAUAACUGUCUUGACUUUGACGGUACCUAACCAGAAAGUCACGGCUAACUACGU